This 414-nucleotide ribosomal RNA is filed under the name uncultured microorganism. Its description in RNAcentral is "bacterial SSU rRNA". It matches the Rfam family "Archaeal small subunit ribosomal RNA", at positions 459 to 872 of the family's 1478-position model. The record is from RNAcentral.
CAGCCGCCGCGGUAAUACCGGCGGCCCGAGUGGCGGCCACUAUUAUUGGGCUUAAAGCGUCCGUAGCCGGGUUGGUUAGUCUCCCGGGAAAUCUGGCCGCUUAACGGUCAGAAUUCCGGGAGAUACUGCCAGCCUAGGGACCGGGAGAGGCCGAGGGUAUUCCCGGAGUAGGGGUGAAAUCCUAUAAUCCCGGGAGGACCACCUGUGGCGAAGGCGCUCGGCUCGAACGGGUCCGACGGUGAGGGACGAAGGCCAGGGGAGCAAACCGGAUUAGAUACCCGGGUAGUCCUGGCUGUAAACGAUGCGGACUUUGUGUCGGACAAGCUAUGAGCUUGUCCGGUGCCGGAGGGAAACCGUUAAGUCCGCCGCCUGGGGAGUACGGCCGCAAGGCUGAAACUUAAAGGAAUUGGCGGG